GGUCCCGGGGUGUUACAUGCAGGACUGCAAUUCUUGAGAAGCAGAUUAAGAUCUGCCGGGGCUU
Molecule: transfer RNA, 64 nt
Filed under: Ranitomeya sirensis (Sira poison frog)
Lineage: Eukaryota; Metazoa; Chordata; Amphibia; Anura; Dendrobatidae
Description: tRNA-Cys
Source: RNAcentral